Brassica napus (rape) is the source of this 1486-nucleotide long non-coding RNA. RefSeq lists it as uncharacterized. The record is from RefSeq and is a predicted model, not a curated record. Lineage: Eukaryota; Viridiplantae; Streptophyta; Magnoliopsida; Brassicales; Brassicaceae. The transcript has 2 exons.
UGUAUUUAGUAAGAGGGAGUGGUGGCUACGGACAACCGGUAACCGCCGUACGGUUCUCAAUUGGGUUAUCCUCACAAUCUCAUCCAGGAAGAACAGUCAGUCGGGCAGAAGGGGUAUCUCAGAUUCCUUUGCCUUUCGCCAUCCAUCAUUAAAUAAAAGAAAUGUCCUCAGAAGACUGACAUUGGUGCCUACAGAUAUCAUUUAUCCACAGCCACUCAUUACGGAACGCAAUAUGGGUCGGUCUAUGGAGCUACUUCUCUUACCAGCUCCCAUCUUUGAGCACACAAGUCGUCGGAUUAUCCGGAUAUGUCCCCACUCUGCCAGUCACCAAAGUAUGCUUCUGGAAGCUAUUUGUCUCCCUCGAGCAACGUUUAUGGUCAAAAGGUAGAAGAUUUGUAUUCAGAUAAGCUGUCUGGUUACGUUUUCGUUGACAGAAGGCAGUUUGGUGAAAGGUCAAGUAUUUAUCUUGGUCGGGAGUUGCAAAGUGACACAACUACUCGAUAUUCUGAUUCACAACAGCCGUGACACUAUUCUGCACAUCCAAGUACACAAACUUAAUCUCUACGUUGUUGACUUGAAAUAGAGAGUAUGGAGAAAGAAAAUGAACAUUUCACCUCCGACUUCUCCAAAGUCAGUAUCUUUCUGUUUCAAAAAGUCAUAUGGUUAACAACAUCCAAUGCUGUAUCUGUUGAUUUACUGUUUUGAGUAUCUAACAGCCUUAGAAAAUAAAUGCAGGAAUACUAUGAGGACAUUGUUAUACAAUGGAAGGCGAAGCUGGAGAGAAGUGCUUCGGGUGAGCAGAAGCGGGAACUUUUUAUAGCAUUAUAGCCAACAAAAUUUAUGAAGUCUUUCACUUUUAUAUGUACGUUUGCUUCUUCAAAUAUAAAAAUAUUAUUUCCCUUUGGCAAUGAUGUUAUGUGGACUUGUGUGUUGUGUUUGAUUUCGUUUGUCUUCACUAUUUUCGGUUUGAUAUAUAAACUGAUUUUCGUUUGGUUCAUUCUUUGUUUCCCAUCAUUAUUUGUGUUAAAUUUGAAUAAUUAUAAUAUUUUUUUUUGUUUAGAUUUUUGUAGCAAUGUGUUUGAUGAAACCGGGUUAUUCAUAUUGAAAUGUGGCUACAAGGUCUUUAGCCUGUGGGUCUAUUCAAUCUUGUCUGAAUUGGGCAUUGCUUGAUAUCGAUUGUGAUGGAUCCAUGGCUAAUAAGUCUAUUUCUAUCUUUAUCUUAGAAUUAGACAACAUUUAAAGUAUUGUGGGCUUUUAGGCCUAAAAAUAUUAAAAUUAAUCGAAAUUGUAAAUUCUGAAAAAAUCAGAAUUUUUGUUACAGCGUACAAAUAGAACACUAUUGUCCAUAAUACCUCACCAUAAUAUUAAUUUUUUGUUUAAUUAUACCACAUUUUCUCAUCUUCUAUUAUUUAAACCAAAUCUAUCUAAAAACCCAAUUAAUAGUUUGUUUUCAGUUCAACAAAUUUUUUGACAUCAAUAUUUCUAA